GCCUACGGGGCGCAGCAGUGGGGAAUAUUGCGCAAUGGGGGCAACCCUGACGCAGCAACGCCGCGUGAUUGAAGAAGGCCUUCGGGUUGUAAAGAUCUUUAAUCGGGGACGAAUUUUGACGGUACCCGAAGAAUAAGCUCCGGCUAACUACGUGCCAGCAGCCGCGGUAAUACGUAGGUGGCAAGCGUUGUUCGGAAUAACUGGGCGUAAAGGAUGCGUAGGCGGUUAAACGAGUUAUAUGUUAAAUAUAUAGGCUUAACCUGUAGAAAGCAUAUAAAACUGUUUAACUAGAGUGCAGGAGAGGU
Molecule: ribosomal RNA, 305 nt
Filed under: uncultured bacterium
Lineage: Bacteria
Description: bacterial SSU rRNA
Rfam family: Bacterial small subunit ribosomal RNA
Source: RNAcentral